Heterocephalus glaber (naked mole-rat) is the source of this 121-nucleotide small nuclear RNA. The record is from Ensembl. NCBI's taxonomy places the organism in Eukaryota, Metazoa, Chordata, Mammalia, Rodentia, Bathyergidae.
GUGCUUGCUUUGGCAGCACAUACACUAAAAUUGGAACAAUACAGAAAAGAUUAGUAUGGCCCCUGUGAUUAUCAUCCUGUGCAAGAAUGACAUGUAAAUUCAUGAAGUAGUCUAUAUUUUU